Molecule: long non-coding RNA, 1321 nt
Filed under: Capsella rubella
Lineage: Eukaryota; Viridiplantae; Streptophyta; Magnoliopsida; Brassicales; Brassicaceae
Description: long non-coding RNA (CRUB_LNC001585)
Source: RNAcentral
GCACUACAUGGGCCACUUCAGCAAUGGUUGUUGAUGGUAAGAAACGGAUGACAAAUGGGUGAUCUGUAAUCUUGUAAAGGUUAGUGCACCUUCCCACUUCAAACCCAGCAACAGAAAAGAUUACACCUUCUUGUAAAACAUUCCGAAACUGGCUGGCACGUGCAGCUGGGAUGAAACAGUGAAUUACAGAGCACUGCAAAGAAAAUUUGUAAACGUUUCAAUCAUAAAAGUAAAAUAUAAUACAUAUGUAGAAAAUGGGUAAACGUUUCAGUCAUAAACAGCCUUUUAAUCAAAAAUAUAGUGGAACAUGCACUUGACUAUAUAUUUAAGUAACGAUUAAUAAGGGAGAAUUCAAAUGUAUAAGAAAACCAGAUAACUGAAAACAAAGUUUUUUGGAAUAUUUUUCCUAAACAUGUUAGAUUGGGUUAUUUUUUAAAAGGCAAACAGAUGGUUUUGAUGACCAAAUUAAACACAUGGAAAUGAUUUAGUAGGAUUUGAAAAUAUUACCUUUUCAUCAAGCAAUAGAGCAACUAUACCCAUGAAUUCUCCAUUUUUUAAAAUAUUUCGUGCAUCCCAAAAGCGUAGGAGUCGGCCAACUACUUGUUGAGAAGAACGUCCAAGUCGUAAAUCAUCAAAGGUGGAGUAAUCACUGGUGGCAGGAAUCGCAACAACAUCAAUGGCAGCCAUUUUGUGAAAGGUAUGAUGUGUUCAGACUUUGAGUUUUGGGAAUUGUAAGGUUGCAGCCGUUCAGCGUGAAGGUAAUUUAUAGGGAGUGAACUUAACAGGGGAAUUCUAUGGUAUACUGAUGAGGGGCGUAUUUAUAAAGCAUAAGUGGGGCUAAUAAAAACUGAAGAGUAACGUAUUUAUCUAGGAAGUCAGAGAAUGGUACUCAGCUAAGAUUAAAUGUUAGAGUUAAGUGACGAAAUUGCAGAGAGGAUUUGAUGAACCUUUUUGGGAGUGAUCUGUAACGCUUAAUCGCAUAAGCGAUGAUUCAAUCAUAGAGGUUUUGAGCUUCUGAGAAACUGAACAGGGAACGACGGGAGAAGAAGAAGAAACGACAAAGAAACGAAAGCGACAAAGAAGGAAAACCUAUUAAAGAAAUGGAGUCCAGGGAAAUUUAGAAGGCCUUAGUUUGUAAUUUUAGGCCCGAAUUUGAGGUAUUUGAGGGCCAAAACUUUGUGGCCAAUUAUAAACAUUAUUCACCCAAAAUAAUAUAAGCCCAAUAGUACAAGUUUUACAAAUUUUAGAAUAAAUGCUGACGUGGACACUCUAAUGGGAGAGAGAAGUCUCCUAUCUUAUAUAAUAAAGUAGGGUUCCUCCA